CCUACGGGUGGCAGCAGUGGGGAAUAUUGGACAAUGGGCGAAAGCCUGAUCCAGCCAUGCCGCGUGUGUGAAGAAGGCCUUCGGGUUGUAAAGCACUUUCAGUGGGGAAGAAAGCCUUGGGGCUAAUACCCUCGAGGAAGGACAUCACCCACAGAAGAAGCACCGGCUAACUCCGUGCCAGCAGCCGCGGUAAUACGGAGGGUGCGAGCGUUAAUCGGAAUUACUGGGCGUAAAGCGCGCGUAGGCGGUCUGAUAAGCCGGUUGUGAAAGCCCCGGGCUCAACCUGGGAACGGCAUCCGGAACGGUCAGGCUAGAGUGCAGGAGAGGAAGGUAGAAUUCCCGGUGUAGCGGUGAAAUGCGUAGAGAUCGGGAGGAAUACCAGUGGCGAAGGCGGCCUUCUGGACUGACACUGACGAUGAGGUGCGAAAGCGUGGGUAGCAAACAGGAUUAGAUACCCCAGUAGUC
Molecule: ribosomal RNA, 465 nt
Filed under: Vreelandella stevensii
Lineage: Bacteria; Pseudomonadati; Pseudomonadota; Gammaproteobacteria; Oceanospirillales; Halomonadaceae
Description: partial 16S ribosomal RNA
Rfam family: Bacterial small subunit ribosomal RNA
Source: RNAcentral